Molecule: long non-coding RNA, 230 nt
Filed under: Carica papaya (papaya)
Lineage: Eukaryota; Viridiplantae; Streptophyta; Magnoliopsida; Brassicales; Caricaceae
Description: long non-coding RNA (CPAP_LNC013335)
Source: RNAcentral
GUAGUAUCUACCCCAACUCAUAAGGACUGACCACUAGUACAGUUUACCGAGCAUGUAUGUACAGAUUGGCAACAGAGAGUUACCAGUAGAUCUCAUACUCUAAACGUGCAUGAUUUUGAUGUUAUACUAGGAAUGGAUUGGUUGGCAGUGUACCAUUCCAAUAUAGAUUGUCAUGGGAAAAUGGUGACCUUUAAUGUUCCCAAUGAUAAGGCUUUCAAAUUCGAAGGGAU